This 1024-nucleotide ribosomal RNA is filed under the name Herpotrichiellaceae sp. RNAcentral describes it as "SSU rRNA". It matches the Rfam family "Eukaryotic small subunit ribosomal RNA", at positions 71 to 1106 of the family's 1831-position model. The record is from RNAcentral. Lineage: Eukaryota; Fungi; Ascomycota; Eurotiomycetes; Chaetothyriales; Herpotrichiellaceae.
ACUUUAUACCGUGAAACUGCGAAUGGCUCAUUAAAUCAGUUAUCGUUUAUUUGAUAGUACCUUUACCUGGAUAACCGUGGUAAUUCUAGAGCUAAUACAUGCUAAAAACCCCGACUUCGGAAGGGGUGUAUUUAUUAGAUAAAAAACCAAUGCCCUUCGGGGCUCCUUGGUGAUUCAUAAUAACUUAACGAAUCGCAUGGCCUUGCGCCGGCGAUGGUUCAUUCAAAUUUCUGCCCUAUCAACUUUCGAUUGUAAGAUAGAGGCUUACAAUGGUCUUAACGGGUAACGGGGAAUUAGGGUUCUAUUCCGGAGAGGGAGCCUGAGAAACGGCUACCACAUCCAAGGAAGGCAGCAGGCGCGCAAAUUACCCAAUCCCGACACGGGGAGGUAGUGACAAUAAAUACUGAUACGGGGCUCUUUCGGGUCUCGUAAUUGGAAUGAGUACAAUUUAAAUCCCUUAACGAGGAACAAUUGGAGGGCAAGUCUGGUGCCAGCAGCCGCGGUAAUUCCAGCUCCAAUAGCGUAUAUUAAAGUUGUUGCCGUUAAAAAGCUCGUAGUUGAACCUUGGACCUGGCUGAUCUGUCCUCCUAACCGAGCGCACGGAUUCGGUCGGGUCUUUCCUUCUGGGGAACCCCAUGCCCUUCACUGGGUGUGGUGGGGAACCAGGACUUUUACCUUGAAAAAAUUAGAGUGUUCAAAGCAGGCAUUUGCUCGAAUACAUUAGCAUGGAAUAAUAGAAUAGGACAUCGGUUCUAUUUUGUUGGUUUCUAGGACCGCUGUAAUGAUUAAUAGGGAUAGUCGGGGGCGUCAGUAUUCAAUUGUCAGAGGUGAAAUUCUUGGAUUUAUUGAAGACUAACUACUGCGAAAGCAUUCGCCAAGGAUGUUUUCAUUAAUCAGUGAACGAAAGUUAGGGGAUCGAAGACGAUCAGAUACCGUCGUAGUCUUAACCAUAAACUAUGCCGACUAGGGAUCGGACGGUGGUUUUUUUAUGCCCCGUUCGGCACCUUACGAGAAAUCAAAGUGU